UGUCAGGGUCACAGGGCAGAGGCAGCUCCAGGGGGGAUCUCUGACCCUUCCCAAGCAGUGAAAGUUGGGAAGUGUCUCCCCCCGCAGCUGUGGCUUCCAGCAGAGACCGGAGACUAGAACCAGCAGCACUUACAGAGAUUUAUAGCCCAUGGAAAAGAGCUUCUCAGCUCACAUGUUUACUUCGGAGAACUCUGUGGAGGCAUCAAGGGCCAGGGUCAACAUACACCACUGCAGCUUUGUCUCUCAAGCGUUUCGGGCCAUGUUAUGUGUUUGGAAGACAACAAUGGGGAGGAAAGGCUGUUUAUGUGGUUUUUGUAAAAUAUGCAGAAGCUAUGAAAAUAAGUGCUCUAUCAAUAAUAAAUGGAAUGGAAAAUAGAAGCAAACAAGUCAAAGAAAGAUGCGGUGGAAGGCAUUUCAUCUUCUAUCACCCAUCUCUGCUCCAAGCAUCUCAGCCACCUACAAAAAGACUCACUUCAACUCCCAGAGACUGCGUGCUGAAUUUCAUGAUGAACUCAAAUGCUUUCUUCCCAGCCUUUCCCUUCAUUCUCACAGUGUGGCCCCGCCUGCGCAUAUUGUCAUUUAGCACGGAUCAAAGCCUUACACUGAGAGGAUGGAGUCUUUGGAGACAGUGAAAUCUCAAACAUCUGCCAGUGGGUAGAUAAGGAGGCGGGGGCAUCAGGGUGCACCCCGCAAAUCACAUCACAUGUAACUAUUGGGGUCAGGAAAGUUAAACCUCUCACUACAACAAAUCACUACCAUAAAAUAUCAGUGAACUUUCACAAGGAAAAUCAGGGCAAGGUGAUCUAUGUCAGCUACGCCUGUCUGUUUCCUCUAAUGAAAUUUUGACUGGUUCUUUUCAGUUGCUAAUGAACUUCAGAGACUCUCCAUUCUACUUUAUCUCUAGGUCUUAACAUUGAAAAUAGCGUAAUCAUUUUAAUAAAAUGUUAUC
This is a long non-coding RNA of Cercocebus atys (sooty mangabey), 949 nucleotides long. RefSeq lists it as uncharacterized. The transcript is spliced from 3 exons. Lineage: Eukaryota; Metazoa; Chordata; Mammalia; Primates; Cercopithecidae. The record is from RefSeq and is a predicted model, not a curated record.